RNAcentral lists this ribosomal RNA (1415 nucleotides) under alpha proteobacterium IMCC10406. RNAcentral's name for it is "bacterial SSU rRNA". It matches the Rfam family "Bacterial small subunit ribosomal RNA". The record is from RNAcentral. Lineage: Bacteria; Pseudomonadati; Pseudomonadota; Alphaproteobacteria.
GUUUGGAUCAUGGCUCAGAACGUACGCUGGCGGCACGCCUAACACAUGCAAGUCGAACGAAGUAGCAAUACUUAGUGGCAGACGGGUGAGUAACAUGUAGGUAUCUGCCCUUUGGCCUGGAAUAACACGAGGAAACUUGUGCUAAUACCGGAUAAGUCUUUACGGAGAAAGCUUUAUGCACCAUUGGAUGAGCCUGCACUUGAUUAGUUUGUUGGUGGGGUAAUGGCCUACCAAGACUGUGAUCAAUAGCUGAUUUGAGAGGAUGAUCAGCCACAUUGGGACUGAGACACGGCCCAAACUCCUACGGGAGGCAGCAGUGGGGAAUCUUGCACAAUGGAGGAAACUCUGAUGCAGCGAUGCCGCGUGAGUGAAGAAGGCCCUUGGGUUGUAAAGCUCUUUCGUCGGGGAAGAAAAUGACUGUACCCGAAUAAGAAGGUCCGGCUAACUUCGUGCCAGCAGCCGCGGUAAUACGAAGGGACCUAGCGUAGUUCGGAAUUACUGGGCUUAAAGAGUUCGUAGGUGGUUGAAAUAGUUGGUGGUGAAAUCCCAGAGCUUAACUCUGGAACUGCCAUCAAAACUUUUCAGCUAGAGUAUGAUAGAGGAAAGCAGAAUUUCUAGUGUAGAGGUGAAAUUCGUAGAUAUUAGAAAGAAUACCAAUUGCGAAGGCAGCUUUCUGGAUCAUUACUGACACUGAGGAACGAAAGCAUGGGUAGCGAAGAGGAUUAGAUACCCUCGUAGUCCAUGCCGUAAACGAUGUGUGUUAGACGUUGGAAAUUUAUUUUCAGUGUCGCAGGGAAACCGAUAAACACACCGCCUGGGGAGUACGACCGCAAGGUUAAAACUCAAAUGAAUUGACGGGGACCCGCACAAGUAGUGGAGCAUGUGGUUUAAUUCGAAGAUACGCGCAGAACCUUACCAACACUUGACAUGUUCGUCGCGACUCUAAGAGAUUAGAGUUUUCGGUUCGGCCGGACGAAACACAGGUGCUGCAUGGCUGUCGUCAGCUCGUGUCGUGAGAUGUUGGGUUAAGUCCCGCAACGAGCGCAACCCUCACUUUUAGUUGCCAUCAUUAAGUUGGGCACUCUGAAAGAACUGCCAGUGAUAAGCUGGAGGAAGGUGGGGAUGACGUCAAGUCCUCAUGGCCCUUACGUGUUGGGCUACACACGUGCUACAAUGGUAUCUACAACAGGAAGCAAGACUGCGAAGUUAAGCAAAUCCCUAAAAGAUACCUCAGUUCGGAUUGCACUCUGCAACUCGAGUGCAUGAAGCUGGAAUUACUAGUAAUCGUGGAUCAGCGUGCCACGGUGAAUGCGUUCCCGGGUCUUGUACACACCGCCCGUCACACCAUGGGAGUUGGUUCUACCUUNAAGGCAAGGUUUUAAACCCUUGACCACGGUAUAGUCAGCGACUGGGGU